This is a long non-coding RNA of Cyprinus carpio carpio, 2532 nucleotides long. The record is from Ensembl. Lineage: Eukaryota; Metazoa; Chordata; Actinopteri; Cypriniformes; Cyprinidae.
CGCCUCUCAUUUACAGUAUCAUCAUGCGGACCGCUCUGCUUCUCGCGGUGUUCUCGUGCUUUUCUCUUAUCGAGGGAAAGCCAUUCGAAGAUAAAACGUGUGUUGGAAUUCGCAGAGAAGAUUCGUCCUAUGACUUUGACCUGCCCGACGCUGUGGCCGUGAACUUGCAAGACCUCACCUGUGAUGCAGAGUGGACCAUUGAUCAAUUCACAGCUAUCCUGGAUGGAAAUUCAGCAUACUUUUCACAUCCCUUCAAAAACGUAACCCGUAAUGGAAUCAGUGUGACUUACUGUCCAUUUUCAGUCACAUUCCAUGCCUCUUGUCUUAAUUAUGUCAAUCACCUUACAUGUUCUUGCACCAAUUCCACCAGCAUCUAUCCAGUGUUUAGCACAACUCUGCCAUCUAGAGGUAUGUCAUUAACGUCUAUAUUUGAAUCAUGUCAAAUCCUGUUGCUUUUGCAACACUGUAAUAAAAUAACCUAAACCAUUUAGUCCAGUGUUGGAGUAGAACACAUAACCUAUAUUUCUUUAAAGUGUACAGCAAAUAUGCCUUCAGGAAAUAGUGGUAGGGAUAUAGUAUGUGGUGAUAUUAGAGGAAGAUUUUGCAAAUGCAUGUACUGACAUUUUGUAAUAUAACUGCAUUUCCAGAUUCAUCCUCCACUGCAAUCAAAACUAAUUCUUCAGUGAGACAACACUUUCAGAAAUUCCUCACAAAACAGAAGAAUAACAGUAGUAAUAAUUAUCCUCAUUUCGAUGUUGGUCAAGGUUAUGGAAUCGCAGACUGCAAAAACAAUGCAAGUUCUCUCUCUAGUUUUGCUGAACCUUGUAAAAAUUACCUCCCUGAAAUUCCUGUUGUUUCGCAAGCCACUCCUAAAAAACAAAUGCAACGUUUAAAGGGUGACUAAACCCUUGGUCAGAGCCUGACUCCACCCACUGGCAAUAUUUGAAAAAUGCUGAAAAGUGGCAGAGCACAGCGGAGGUAGAGGGGACGAACCGAGGGCGGGGUUGAGUGGGUGGGGUGUGAACCUCAGACCCGCAGUAACGGAUUAAUUGACAGUGUCAAAACUCAGUUGAGCAAUCUCAAAGAGCAAACCAAUCUAAGCAACAAGAUACACAACCAAAAACAACUGCACUAAACUGAGUUCUCUUAGGAACCUUUUAAAAAAUGUAAACUGGAAAUAGAUUCCUGGCUGUGGAAGCUACACUAGAGUUCUGGAGAUGGGGACAGAAAAACAUAACUGCAAGUGAUAUUGCAACAGAAUGUUGCCAUUGCUGUUGCUGCCAUUUUUGUCAUAACCCUUGUCAUUUUGGCUUUCCACUCUGCAAGCACAGCGAAAUAUGCUCCUGAAGAACAAAACCAGCCUGGUUCAGUAGAAUGAGCCUGAGGAGGCAACUGUAAUUGCCCUAGAAACAACACAUGGCGUGGAGUCAUAACAACACAUUAUCCUAUAAUGUAACACAUAUUAUAUUAUAUUAUAUUAUAUUAUAUUAUAUUAUAUUAUAUUAUAUUAUAUUAUAUUAUAUAGUCAAAAAUUGAGAUUUUCCACUGUAUAUUAUAUUAUAUUAUAUAGUCCAAAACUGGGAUUUUUCACUGUAUAUUAUAUUAUAUUAUAUUAUAUUAUAUUAUAUUAUAUUAUAUUAUUCAAAACUGUGAUUUUUCACUGUAUCACUCCGCUUGUCCGUGUUCCAUUUUGAACUUGGGUUUUUCAUUGAUUCAUUCUGCAACUAACUUGGUUACGCUAACCGGUUAUGACAAGUGAGGGUUUUGUAUUGAAUGUCUUUUGUAUAAACGAGUUACUGAAUCAUUCAUUCAUUUACUCAAGUAACUUAAUAUUACUCAAGUUAAUCAAUAUUGUAUAAAACCAUACCAAUCAGUAUAACAAUGUCACGCUUUUGGUGCUGCAACAGAACACACAACAGAGUAUGUGGAAGUGGAACGACAUCAAAUUCCUCUCCUUGCUCAAUAAGUUCUGUAAUCAUGUUACUUCACUCCCUCUACACAUUUCCUAUUUCUCACUGGUUAGAGAAAAACACUGCUCUUAGAGUAAGAGAAAACACAGACAUACUAAAAGUGACACAAACAGUGAAAUAUCAGAGUUUUACUAAAUAUGGUCACUGUUGUACCUGUAUUAUAUUAUAUUAUUAUAUUAUAUUAUAUUAUAUUAUAUUAUAUUAUAUUAUAUUAUAUUAUAUUAUAUCAUAUCAUAUAUUAAGUUUAAUAUGAAGUCUAAUAUAAAGGUUAUAACUUUGUAUUUCCUCCCAGUAUUUACAAUAGUUUCCUGUCUCUUCUGUUGUUAGAUAUUGUUUUUUACACAAAUUGGGCUUAAAAGUUUUAAUCAUUAACGUUACAUAGCGGCGCUUGUGUUCAUCUUUGCUUAGUGCUGUAAAUCUUGUUUGCUCGUAGUUCUAAACACUUUUAUAGGAAUUUCUUAUUUAUUUCAGGUUUUUCCAUCCUUGUAGCUCUUUUUAAUUUUUUUGUUUGUUUGUUUUGAGUUAUUCUGAAACUGCCAUUAAACCUAUGCCUUUUACUCAA